GACGAACGCCGGCGGCGUGCCUAAUACAUGCAAGUCGAGCGGACGAAUCGAAAGCUUGCUUUUGAUUCGUUAGCGGCGGACGGGUGAGUAACACGUGGGCAACCUGCCCUGUAGACGGGGAUAACACCGAGAAAUCGGUGCUAAUACCGGAUAACACGAAAUGUCGCAUGACGUUUCGUUGAAAGACGGCGCAAGCUGUCGCUACAGGAUGGGCCCGCGGCGCAUUAGCUAGUUGGUGAGGUAACGGCUCACCAAGGCGACGAUGCGUAGCCGACCUGAGAGGGUGAUCGGCCACACUGGGACUGAGACACGGCCCAGACUCCUACGGGAGGCAGCAGUAGGGAAUCUUCCGCAAUGGACGAAAGUCUGACGGAGCAACGCCGCGUGAGCGAAGAAGGCCUUCGGGUCGUAAAGCUCUGUUGUUAGGGAAGAACAAGUAACGCAGUAACUGGCGUUACCGUGACGGUACCUAACGAGAAAGCCACGGCUAACUACGUG
This 498-nucleotide ribosomal RNA is filed under the name uncultured bacterium. RNAcentral's name for it is "partial 16S ribosomal RNA". It matches the Rfam family "Bacterial small subunit ribosomal RNA", at positions 28 to 507 of the family's 1533-position model. The record is from RNAcentral.